UCCCUGAUAGCUCAGUUGGUAAAGAAUCUGCCUGCAAUACAGGAGACCCAGGUUCAAUUCCUAGGCAGGGAA
Molecule: non-coding RNA, 72 nt
Organism: Bos taurus (domestic cattle)
Lineage: Eukaryota; Metazoa; Chordata; Mammalia; Artiodactyla; Bovidae
Source: Rfam